UUCUUCUCUACAACAAUCAAUUCCACAGUCCACACUUCUAGUGUAGAGGAAAAAUUGCCUUCAAGUACAUAUUAACUACAUUUGGUGGUCCUAUACUGAGGGAAGCUCCUGAAUCCACUUGAUGAACUAUUUUCUUCAGGUACGCAAAAGCUAAUUGAUAAGUUGCAAUGGCAGCAAAUGAUGUCAAUUCUAACGAUGUCAGUGGGGACUGUGGGAGGCUUUAUCUGGCUGCGCUGAAAGGUGAUUGGAAAUCUAUUGAGGACAUGACAAACAUUCAAAGACGUCUUAAUUGGAACGAAGAAACCACUCUUCAUAUUGCUGCUGCAGCUGGAAAUGUGAAAAUUGCCGAGAUGAUGCUAAAGAAAAAUCCUGAGCUGCCAAACCUAGGAGUAGCCUUGCAAAUGCUGGAUAAGAACCCCGAUUUAACUACCGCUACAAACUCGGAUGGAAAGACUGCAUUGCAUGUGUUAGCUCACAAGCCUUCUGUAUUUGUUAAUGAAAGUCAGCUGGGAGUUUUGAGGAGACACAUCAAUAUUCCAUGGUUGAAAUCAAAACAGGCAAACUCAAAGUAUUCUCAAGUCAAUGAAUUGUUAAAAAAAUGUCUUCAGGGUUACAGAGGUGAUGUUGAGAAUUCAAACGAAACCUCAGUGAUUUCAUCUGUUCUGUUUGAAGCAGCAGAAGUAGGCAACAUCGAGUUCUUGGUUAAGCUUAUUUGUUUUAACUUUGAUCUAUUAUGGAAAAUAAAAGACAAUAAAAGCAUAUUUCAUAUUGCUGUUGAGAAGCGCCACGAAAGCAUCUUCAAAUUACUUAAUGAGAUAGGCUCAAUUGGAGAUCUAAUAGUCGGUAGAAAAUUUGAAGAUGGAAGCAACAUAUUGCAUUUAGCUGCAAGAUUGGCACCUCAAGAUAAGCUCAAUGCUAUAUCAGGAGCAGCUCUUCAAAUGCAACUAGAACUAUUAUGGUUCAAGGAGGUGGAAAAGGCCGUAAAUCCUGCAUUCAAAGAAAUGAAAAAUAUUAACGGGGAAACACCAUAUGUUUUAUUUGCGAUGAACCAUGAGAACUUAAGGAAGGAAGGAGAGAAGUGGAUGAUGAACACAGCUAAAUCAUCUAUGGUGGUUGCUACACUAAUUGGCACUAUAGUGUUUAGUGACCAAGCAGCUGAUAAAUCAAACAGUAGUCCUAAACUUUUUCUGGCCUAUUCAAUUUCAAGUGCAACAGCAUUAUUUGGUUCAUCAACAUCCCUAAUAAUGUUUUUAUCCAUUCUUACCUCACGUUAUUCAUACGAAGACUUUGUUGUAUGGUUACCUAUUAGGUUGAUGAUUGGAGUCACUUCACUUUUCAUCUCAAUUGCCGCCAUGAUGGUCGCAUUUUCUACAUCCUUUUCGUUGAGGAAUCUUAAUCAUCAGGAAUUGUCAUUGUUUUUUGUUGUCAUUGGUUUAUUUGCUUUUGUACCAAUCUUAUACGUGUUGCUCAAGUAUCGCCUAUUAGUUGAUAUACUUCGAUCUACCUUCUUUCAGUUUCAGCCUCAACAUCUACUUUUGAAGGCCCCACUGUGUAGUGGGAAUCCAACACCCGCUACAUAGAGCUAGCGUGCAACAUAGCUAUUGUUAAGUUUUUAGCAAUGGUUAGUCAUGAUUCGACCAGUUAAUCUUUUGUUUCUUUCCAUUCUACAUAUGUGUAAAAUGAUGUUAACUUGUACUAGUUUUGAAGCUGCGCAAUAGUAAGCAAACAUCAAGAGACUUACGGUUAUGGUUUAGCUGCUUUCCACGGAUUUACCAUGCGGAGAACUUGGAUUCGAACCCCUCCCCCUUGUAAACAAACAUCAAGAACUUUUUUACGUUGUAAGUGUAAAAAAGAAGAAAAAAUAGAGAAAAAAAAAUUGGAAAAUUAAAGAGGAUUAUAUAUGUAAAGUCAAACUUGUAAAGGAUAAAGAAACAAUUCUAAAGAAUC
This is an RNA transcript of Quercus lobata, 1947 nucleotides long. RefSeq lists it as uncharacterized. The transcript is spliced from 7 exons. The record is from RefSeq and is a predicted model, not a curated record. NCBI's taxonomy places the organism in Eukaryota, Viridiplantae, Streptophyta, Magnoliopsida, Fagales, Fagaceae.